GUACAGCUGACUUCCAAUCAGCUAGUUUCGGUCUAGUCCGAAAAAGAAUA
This 50-nucleotide transfer RNA is filed under the name Bos taurus (domestic cattle). RNAcentral's name for it is "partial tRNA-Gly". The record is from RNAcentral. Lineage: Eukaryota; Metazoa; Chordata; Mammalia; Artiodactyla; Bovidae.